UAGGGCAACGCGACUCGUAGGCGAUCUUCCGAGCGGAAUGUCUUCCGGAAGGACUUUUUAUGAGAAAUCGGUUCCUAUUUAGGUGUUACAAACGCAGGAAACUCCACGUGAUUGGCCCGUUGACCAAGCGCAAACCCGCGACCAACUAUUAAUGUUCGAUGUAUCCACUAAAGCUCUGUAAGAUGGGUCUGGCACUAAGGAGAUAUUUUUCACAUCCAUCAUGGUUUCGACCGGGCCUACAAUGGGAAUAGGUACAAUCGAAUAUUUAGGGACGUGGUCCGAUACAUUUUGAACCCACCGCUGACGAAAACUUCCUGGAGAGUUGCCGGCCUGAAUUCGAUUCCGGGUCCUCCGGAGCAGUUGGCUAAUGUCUAACCUCCUCGGUAGAGCUCCGCUGGACCAAAAUUUUGAUAUGGAUAACGACAUUGAGUUUGAUCCCCAGAUUACUUAGAUAUUGGAUAAAUACUGAAAAUUACCAGCACGGCACUAUUACUCGGUCAUUCGUCCGGCAUCUCUCGAUUCGCAUCAACACAAAUACGAGUUAUCUUUCAAUGCUAAUAACCAGUUUUACGGAUCGGCAUCUUUUGUAUAGUUUUGUUUUAAUCGAAGCUAAAAAAAAUGAAAAAUACAAAUACUUUAGGGAAACGACGAGAAAUUCGAGCGAAAGCGCUCCGUGCGAGAUUCGUAGUUUAAAUCUGAAUUAAAAUUAAUAAUCAAACAAUAAAAUUAAUUCAAGAAUUGAGGCUUCGCUAUUCGAACCAAGAAAGCUUAUUUUUCUUUUUUUAAAUUAAAUUAAAUAUUUUUUGGCUAUUUUUUUGGAUGCGUAAGGACGUAAUCGGGCAUGCGGCGAUCCAGCUGGGAAUAUCGAACACGUGAGUGGUAGCGCUGUUUCUUUCGAUUUGUAGUAAAGCUUUAAACACUCGUAUUUAUAUUCGUGACAAAUUUAGCUAUAUAAAGAAAAACAAGAAUGACUAUUUAAAAUACGUAGAUGGGAAAUCAUGCAGCAGUUUGAAAUUCUUUAGGUCUUUUCCAAGUAAUCUUGAAAAUCAGAAAAGACAUUACUUUAUUGGAUCAAAAAUAAAAUG
Centruroides sculpturatus (bark scorpion) is the source of this 1085-nucleotide long non-coding RNA. RefSeq lists it as uncharacterized. The record is from RefSeq and is a predicted model, not a curated record. Lineage: Eukaryota; Metazoa; Arthropoda; Arachnida; Scorpiones; Buthidae. The transcript has 4 exons.